Cavia porcellus (domestic guinea pig) is the source of this 9074-nucleotide long non-coding RNA. RefSeq lists it as uncharacterized. The record is from RefSeq and is a predicted model, not a curated record. Lineage: Eukaryota; Metazoa; Chordata; Mammalia; Rodentia; Caviidae. The transcript has 2 exons.
CAAGGCCACCGAAGAUGGGCAGAGAGCUAGAAGAUCGUGUGGUGCAGCCUUGGCCACGAGGAAGGCCCGAGGAGCCAGGAACACAGGCUCCCCAAGGGGCUGGGAGGGCAGGAAAUGGGUCCUUCCGGAGGGAGCCUGGCUCGGCUGAUGCCUGGAGCGGCCUUCUGACCUCCACAACCGGUAGGAGGUAAACAGGGGCUGUCUGAAGCCACCUCUUCAUGGUGAUGUUAGCGCUGCCCCAGGAAACUCACAGACAAGGAAGCAGCCCAUGACGGGGACCCCUAUCUGCAUUUGAGGCACUCAGGUGGGGCAGUGCCUGGGAGGACACCACAGCCCAUCUCUGGAUGUGAGAGGUCGGGGGAGAAGACACUAGGGAGCUGGCAGGGACAGGAAAUGCCCCUGCCCAAGCCCACCUUUGUGUCUGCAGAAACCCCGCAGCCGCCAUGCCCUGGCAUCCAGGCCAAGAGGCCCUGUCCUCAGGGCAAGGAGCUGUGUGUGGCCUCCACCUCCCGACCCACAAAGGGCCACGAGUCAAGUACCAAUGCUGGGUGGGCAGCUAGGCACAGAUGCCAGUGUUCAAGUCAGCAGUGACCAGGGAAUCUGAAAUGCAAGCCCCAGUAAGCCUUUAGGAACCUUCCUAGCCUGAGCACUUCUCCACUAUUCGGGGCAUAUUUGAAAUAAUCCUCUGUAUCAUGAAACGCAGCUCCCCACUUCUGCAGAGUCACAGCUGGGUGUCAGCCACCUCGACUCUCACAGCAGCUGGACGCUCCCACCUAUUCCUUUAGAACUCCCGAUGCAUAGCCACUUAGAUGUGAUUGCCUGAUGGAUGUAAUAAGACAGUUAUUUAGUUUAUUUAAGCUAUUCAAAUAUUAUCUGAUUAUUUAGAAACAUUUAUAGGGGCUAAUUAUAAGUAACUGUUGAUCAGGAACGGAGCAGCGAUAAGAUUAAUCCUCGGUAACCACAGCUCUGACAAGUAGCUGGUAUUUAUUUAACACACAUUAAAUGAUUUUAAAUCCGCAUUAAGAGAGCCUUGGGCUUAGCAAAGUCUUGGGGACACCGAUUACGAUAAAGUAGCCGUCACCCCUGGCCCUCUGGUGUGGAAUGAGAUGGGUCAGCAGAGGCCAAUUCUUACUGACUACUGGCUGUGGAAGGAAGACUCCAGCAGUUGAGGGAGAGAGCAGGGCCCGGGCGUGCGGCAGGAGUGCAGACCCAUGCACAACUGGCACCUUGCUGUCCACACGGGACCCCGGCCCACAGGCCUUCUCUACUGCAAGGAGGGAGCAGCUGUCCAGGGCCCCUGGAAUCAAGGACAUUUGCUCAGGGGCUCUGCUCUGCAUGUCGCUGCCUAUGAGUCCUGAUGCGCCCCAGCAAGGGAACUGAACCCUGUGCCAUCUGUCUGUGCAGCCUUGUGGAGUCUGAUAGCUUUGUGCCAGCGUCGUUAGUUGAGAACCAGUGGUGGUAGUGGGCUGGGUACCGAGGGGCCAGGAGGGACAUGGUCCAUGCCAGCCAGUGCCGGCCGAGAGUGAGCAGCCCCGUUUCUGCUUCUCCGAGGUCGGGAUAGGACCCUGCCUGCAGUCGAGCAGCAGGUGGUCGUUGCACAGGGCUACCAAUGGCCCUGCCAGGGUCUGGUGCCUCCCUGGGAGGCCCAGGGGCCCAGCUGCUGCCUCAGAUCAGGGCUGCGUGAGCUCAGAUCCCCUGGGCCAGGACGUUUACUAACCUGUGCUGAAGGCCAGGCAGUGACCAAGCAGCCACAGCUCACGGUGGCUGGCCUGGGCCUGUGGCUUCUGACUCACUGGAAUGAAGCUGUGGGGGUAGCCUGAGGCCCUCGGCUUGCCCAAGGGUGUAGUGACAACUGCAUCCUGUGCCCAGGCCCCUUGCCGGAUGCCACCUGGGUCUUCUCUCCAGAACCUGGGGUGGGGCUUGCUUUGCCUUUGCCCAGCCCCCAGCAGUUUCCUUGGCUCUGACACAGUGCCACCUCUGCGUAGGUGAGGCAGAAUGGGUUCUAAAGCCUGGGCUGGGCAGGAACACCCUCUACUGCCACACUCAGCGUGCCUUCCUGCUGAAUACCAGCUGCAGUCCUGGGCGCCCACAGAGGAAGUGACCCCUUGGCUCCAAUGCCUGGCCGUUGGGGGGACUCCUGGCCAGAGGCUGGGCCUCCUCCAUCGUCGGACUGCAGAAACCCUAACCUGAAGGCCUGGUUGGGACCCUUCCUUCCCCCUGCUGCCCAGGCUAGGGGCUGGCACCUGCUGUGGCCCGUGGGGGACAGUAUGAGUGGCAGUGGAGAGCCAUAUGGUGCUCUGAGCAAGUCAGCACAGGCUCUGGGCUUGUCAGCAUUGGCAAAGCAGCAUGCAACUUACAUAAUUUUUCCUUGAAGUGGGAGAUUUUCCACUUUAGCAGAAGCUUGUGGAAACAGUCUCUGCUGGGUGGCUAAUUCCUCUCCGGCUCCGCAUUCUCUGCACUGCAGUUCACAGGAUUUCCCAGCAGGCGAGAAUCCAGGCUGUGCGCCCAGCGGGUAGUGGCUGGGCCCCUCUCCCCAGUGAGCAGCCCCAGGUCCGUGUAGGGUACUAUUCUCAGGUUUCCCUGAUGGCUGCCCUGAUACAGCGGCCACCCCACUUUCACAGUGAUUUAGAACAAAUCAGCAAAUCUGAGCUGUGAGAACUCAGUGUGACCCCACUCUGGUCUCCCUGUUCAGACGGGCCACAGUUGUCCCUGCUGGAGAGGGCAGUGGUGGAAUAUUCCAGGCUUCCCCAGGACACCUCCUACAGGGGGCACUCUUGUCCCAGAAGCAUGGCACAGAAGCAACAGACAGAAGCUCUGUGAGGUUUUGUUUUGGGGACCCAUGAGCUAGCCACACAGCCACGGGAAUUCAACAAGAAGUGGAGACUUGGUCACCAAGUGUGCCGCCCCUGAAAUCUCACACGUGUUUGCCAAGGUGGUGUGAGACCCUUCUCCCUGUUUACGGUCCAGGAUGGGUGUGAGGCCUCUGUCCUCUUCCAACAGAGGGUUGGGCUGAGGUGUGCGGGGACCUGGCUGGGGACACCCCACCCAUGAGAGCUGAGACUCUCGGGCCAGCGGCCUCCUGGGUCUGCCCUGGGCCACUUUCUUCUCUCGAUUGGAGCCAACCCCAGCAGCCUAUUUGUCCUGUGUACUCAGCAGCCCAUGCACUGUACCCAGGCCUCCUCCCCACUCUGUGUUCCACCUGGUACAUGGGACAGAGGCCAAAGCCAUCAGCACCUGAGGCCUCUGUCAGGACCCUGAAUUCCUCUUCCCUAAGUGGCUCCACCCUGGGAUCCCAGGGCAGGAGAUUGGGGCUGAUGGGCCUGGGGAAGGGAGGGAGGAGAAUGCAUGGGGGUCUCUGCUGUCUUGGAAGAUGGCAGCAGGCAUCUGUGUGUCCCUUGUCCCUGCCAGCUUUGAUCCUCUGUGUGUUUGCCUCAUGGUCCCCAGUUAGGAGAGGGCAGGCUGCAGGCGACUCCUGUUCUGGGGUGUCUGCAGCUCUGCAGCUUGGGGUUUAGCUCCUUGAGAAUCUUUGUCCCAGACGAGGGUGGAGAGGUGCAGGGGCAGCCACCUGGACCUGUUUCCAAGGAGGGUUUCCGCUGUUUAUCGACAGGGGUUUCUAGAACGCUGCAGCCAUUGCAUGACAGAGGUGGCGUGUUUGGCAUCUCCUUGCUGUGUUCCCCUCAUCAGUGUCUGCUGGGUGUGGCGGAGGAUCUGUGAGCCUGAGCGCCGCUGGCUGUAAGCAGGGAAAGCAGAGGUGUGGAGGGAGCCCAGCUUCCAGAAGUGGCCUGAUACCUGAUGUUGUGGUCAGGGGUUGUAAGAAGAACAAUUACAUACAGGACACACCACUUAUAGUAUUAUUUAUAGUGGUCACCCAACAAGUCAAAUACAAAGAAAGUGAGGAAGUCUGUCCACAAUGCUAAACACCUAGAGAAUCGAGCUGAGGCCUGGAUUCCCACGGCAAUGUCCCACAUGGGUUCAGCCGAAGACCUACAGCCCAUGACAAUGACUCGUGCAAGUCUGUUUCACGGAUCUGCGCUGGGAAGACCCAAGGUCAGCGGUGGAAGCUAGAAAGUCUGUGCCAGCGGAGUGAAGGAGCUGUGCCAGCAGGCUGAGGUUUCUGUACAGGAGCCAGGAAGCGAUGCUCCAAAUAAGGACCAGGGCUCCCCUGAAAUGUGCCACAGCCAUCCUCAGGGAUAAUGACAUCCCGAGCUCCUCCAAAGAUGAGAACAGCCAAGUUCAUAUCAGGAAGCCAGCUCGACAAGCUUCUGGAGACAGAGCAGCACACAUCUUCUCUGGGGCCAGGAAGCCAUGCUCAAAGUAGGACCAGACGCCCACUCCCAAAGUGAACUGCAGCCACGCUCAGCGAUGAAGUUCUGAGCUUCUCUGAUGCUAACAGCCGAGUGCAUAUCAGGGAAGCCAGCAUGAUGAGCUCCUCGAGGAGAACCAACAGCUCCAAAUGGCAACACUUAGGAGAACCCACAACAUGGCUCUUCCUAUCCAGGUCUCCUUUUUAUGCUGGCAGCAGUGCUCAGGUGCACUGUGCUGGAUAGAUAGGUUUUGGCACCAACACACAAACCCUUCUGGGCGCGGACCGUGGCCACAUGGCCCCCUCUGCAACAGUGAUCAGUCCUCGCUCGGUACAGGUCUCUGCGGCGACCCUCGGGCACAGCCUACAACUGGCUGGAGGGGGACUUUCCUAUAAUAACCUAAGAUGCCCUCCAAGGAGAAAGCAGUGAACUAAUACGCUACAGCUUCAUAAACUCCAUCUCUGUUGCUGAUCUAGUAAAACAAUCUAGAAGUCACUCUGGUCUAAAAAUCUUCUUGGUGGCAGACUUCCUCAUCCAAACUUUUUUUGGUGUUCCCAGGUGGGCAGAUGGGAUGGAUUUCCCCAGGCCCCCUGCCCAAGGCCGAUGACAUGUAUCCCUGAUCGGGAGUUUUAGACCUUGAGAUGGCUUUAGCCUGGUAACUAGUGAUGCCGGGUUUGGCCUGUUUAAUUUGUCCUUUGUUCCAAAAGUCUUAAAUGUUUCUGGCAACAGUAGCUGGAGCUGUGCUGCUGUGGCUGUUCCUCUGUUCCAGCAAGGUUCUACUGCUGGUGGAGCAGGGAGAUGGUCUGAGGGUGACAGCACCGGAGUGGCCAGGGGGGUGGAUGGAUGGACAGGUUCCCUGUGGGUAGAUGAGGGAUAGAUGAAGGAUGUGUAUGUGGGGGAAUGGGUAGACUGAGGGAUGGAUGAAGGAUGCACACGUGGGCGGAUGGACAGAUUGAGACCCAGAUAGAUGUAUGGAUGUUGCAUAGAUGGGUGGGUGAGUGGCUGGCUGGGUAGAUGGGUGGAGGAUGGAUGUGACGGAUGGAUGGAUGGAAGUCGGAUAGGUGGGUGGCUGGAGGGUGGACACACAGACGGAUGAAGGUAGAAUAGGUGGGUGUGUCAGAGGACAGAUGUGUGGGCGGGUGGACAGAUGGAUGAGUGGACACUGACCUAACACAUGACAGAUGUUCUAUUUACAUCCUAUCAUCCUUUAUAAUCAAUUUCAGAAUGUGUACUAUAAAUCUGUAUCAACCCUGCUCAAAUCUACAUGUUAAAUUUGCAACUUGGAGUAUGUUUAGAAUCCAUUAUUUUUAAUAGAAAACCUAAGUCCCAAGCGGGGCACCUGUUUAACGGAUAGAGCGCCAGGCUCGGGCUGCCCUAAGUCGCCCACACACGCACGCAGCUACCCUGCCCUGGUCCUGGUGGCCUGGUCUCUCUGGACGCACUCUUUGGUUGUCUGCUUGCUUUUGCUUUUAGCCUGGAGUCUCCCUGACUUUCCCUGUUUUAUCUCCUCACAUCCUGGGAAAAUGAAAAGAGCUUUUCCAUCUAAGUAAGUUGUGCAGCCCCAAAACUCAAAGUUCAAGUCAAACACGACUCGAUCACAGGAACCUGGACAGGGCCGGAAACCCAGGGCCGAUGCAAGGGCCUUUGGGGCCAUCCCAGGGCUGAGAAGAGCCGGGAAGACCUUGAGCCUUUCCCAGUCGGUACCUGGUGGUCCUGGGACUGAGCACAGCCUGGGAGACCCACAUCCUGCAGACAGCACUUUACAAAGCCUCUUCCUCACUAGCAUUUAGCAGAGAAACUUUGACAAGGCCUGACUUUCCAAGGCCCAAACUGAAGAACCUAAGAAGCAUUUUCUGUUGUCUUCCAUAGCUCAGGAAAUUCCAGGAAAAGGGAUUUGGCUGGCUGCCGGGUUUCGGUUGGCUUUGCAUUCUCUCUGCAGCAUCCCCCUGCCCCCGGUUCUGGAGCUGAAGCCAGGUCUCCGAGCCAACACCUUUGCGCGGUGGACUUUCCUCCCUGGUUCUCUGUGAUUCUGCAGAAAGGAGUUUUUUCAAAAGUAAAGGUCUGGGCCUGGGGUUUAGCUCUGGGGAGCAAGCGCCUGCUUGGCAAGCAUGAGGUUAGGAGUUUGAUCCUUGGUACCAAACGAAACAAAACAACAAUAAAAACCGAGGGUCUGCUAUUUGCCAAGAAUGAACAGGAGACACCAACUGCCGUGAGAAACACACGGUGGCCUCCUGCAGGGCAGCAGCAGAGGAAUGUGCUGCCCAGCUAGGUGGUCUGGGUCCAUCCCUGGGGCGGUGGGUGGCAGGCAGGGGACAUCUGGACACCCACCGACACCACGGUGGGUGCCGGCUGGCCCUGCAGACGUGUUUUUUAUCAGCAUCACUGCUCCUCUGCUGUCCCUUCCCUCUCACGCUGCAGACAUUUUGAACCUCCUCUCACCACUGCCCACAGGCCGGCUCCCUGGCUGCUCUUGCCCUUCCUGUGCCUGGGAAUCGGGCCCAGCUCCUCACAUCUGCACUUGGCGAAGUUGUGCAGAGGCUCUGAGACCCUGUGCCAUGGUGCAGCUCCCAGGGAGGGUCUCUUUCCUCGUGGCUACCGUGUCCAGGUCACCCACAACACCAUCUUCCAGGACUCCCCUGUGCCCUCUGCCCUGUGUGGAGUGGCCUUUGAGGCCACAGAGAAGCUCAGAGGCAGAGGGCGCUGCAUACUCAGAAGUGAGACCCACAGUGACCCUGUAAUGCAUAGGCCGUCCCUUCUCCUCCUCUCUGCUCAGAAUGUAGUGGGCCAGGCCUCAAAGUGACCUUCAUGGGCCCAUGUGUGGGUGGCAGUGAUAUCUUUCUGCACAGAGUUUGCACAGCUGUGCCGGAUGGGAAAGCUGGAAAGGUCACUGAACUGGGCCCAGGAGGCCCUUGAGAUCUGGGGGUGACAGACAGCUCUUUGCUGGUACACUUGCUGAAGUAUCUGCUGGCAUCUGAGACUGGAGCAAAAUCCAAGCACCCUUGCAGGGCUCUCACAGCUAAAGGUGCCCUCUCACCUUGCUUUAGUCCUCCCUUUGAAGUUUGGUGCUCCCAGGGCUGUGGGGAGUCGGCCUGUGUGGCCUGCUCUUGAAGCGGCUUGGUGCAGCCUGAUGUGAGCAUGGGCCCCUAGGUGGGCAGCGGCCAGCAGCAGCGUGAGAAGCAGCAGCGGGGUGGUGGGGACUGAGCCAGCCAGGGCUGAUGCAGUCGAAGGCGAAGCUGUAUCUCACAUGCAGGGAGAGGGCCACUGACAGCCACCGUCCCUGUUGUGCAAGGAGAGAAGUGUGCAUGUGGUCUUUUGCUUCAGGGAAUUUUAAAUGUGUAUUUUAUGCAGCAUUUUUUGGUUAAAAUGCUGGGAAUGAGCUCCUAUUUCUGAAAUCUGUGUUGGGGUCAGACAGAGCACCUCUGUGUGCUGAGCGGGUUUAGGCUGCAGCACACACAGGCGCAGCCUGGGGCUGCCUCACAGGUCAGUGGGCUUGGGCACUGCCCAGGUCUGGCAUCGGGCGCUUCCUGCACCCGCAUUUCCACAAUUCCAGGACACUCUCACUCCAUCCUGGCUGGACUGCCUCUGGGACACAGGACACGAGCUGAGUGGCACAAGACCACCUCUUCCCCUUUGAGCCUCAGGCCCAGACAGGGGACCCCUGGUCUUGCAGGCCCCAGGGCAGCAGGUCCCAAACCUUGAGAGUCACUAAUUAGUGAUCCUAAAGAAUGCAGGGAUCUGCUGGGGCUCUGACUGUUUCUAACCAAGCAAGAAAUCUGUCCCCACCUCAUCACUAGCCGCCUCCUGCUGCUCUGUCCCCUAGGCCUGCGCGGCAGCUGGGGCGUCUAGGUGCGGCAGCUGGGGCGUCUAGGUGAGUCUAAGCCACAUGAGGUUCCCUGGGCUUAGGAUGUGAUGCUGCUGGGCCCUUCCCCCAGCCACAGGCCUGCCCCUGCCCGAUAGUCGGGCUCUGUGCUCUCACCCUGUCAAGGCCACCAUUCUUUAGCCACUCUGAGCUCCUCCUCUCCUGACCUUUGUGCUCGGGGUUCCUCUGCCCCAGGCCCUUGCCCUCCAGAUCACAAUGGUUCCCCUGCUGCCAUGUUUGGUUUUCUCAUCAGAAUCAGCUGUCUCUGACAGGCUGCAGGCAGCCCUGUCCCCUGGUCCCUUGUGUCACCUGUUGCUUUGCUGGUCUUUCUCCUCCACUGCCAACCCCAUGAACACUGGACUUGGAUCCUGCUGCGUCCUCUCUCUAAGGGGCCUCUGCAGAGAGCACGCGGGAGCCCAACAUGGAGAAAGUGGAUGAGCGAAGAAUGAAUGAACAGGUGAAUGGCCACCACUGGCCAGCUGCGGAGCACGGCGCCACAUAACAACAUGUUCACCACAGCUUCUAGGAAGCCACACAGAAGAAUGCAAGUUACCCCUGUAUGUACAAGGGCUGUGGGCUGCCCAGCCCCGGCAUCCCAGGCAGACCGUGCCACGCUCACACUGUCCUCAGUGCAGCCACCCGGGGCAGCCCUGGGCCCUCCUGUCCAGCAUGGCGGCUGUGCAUCUCAGAGCUGGCCUGGACACCUGAGGCUCCAUGGCUGUGGCUGGGCUCAGGGUCUGCCAGGGCAGGUGUGUGAGCCCACACUCUGCAGCCCACCCCAGCGCUCCAGCAGCUCAGUGAGCAUGUUACAUAUUUUACAGUGUCAUAUAUUACAGUGAUGAUGGAAAUCUAAAAUAUUAAUAUAUUCUAAUUGAAUAUUCUCCAAUAAAUUAUCUGAGCAUUUGCAGCAA